AAUUGGAGGGCAAGUCUGGUGCCAGCAGCCGCGGUAAUUCCAGCUCCAAUAGCGUAUAUUAAAGUUGUUGCAGUUAAAAAGCUCGUAGUUGAAUUUCGGGGUCAGCAGGUUGGUCGUGCCACUGGUAUGUACUGGCCUUGCUGAUUCCUCCUUCUUGAUGAGCCGUAAUGCCAUUAAUUUGGUGUUGCGGGGAAUCAGGACUGUUACUUUGAAAAAAUUAGAGUGUUUAAAGCAGGCAAGCGCUUGAAUACAUUAGCAUGGAAUAAUGAAAUAGGACGUUCGAUCCUAUUUUGUUGGUUUCUAGGAUUGACGUAAUGAUUAAUAGGGAUAGUUGGGGGCAUUAGUAUUCAAUUGUCAGAGGUGAAAUUCUUGGAUUUAUUGAAGACUAACUACUGCGAAAGCAUUUGCCAAGGAUGUUUUCAUUAAUCAAGAACGAAAGUUAGGGGAUCGAAGACGAUCAGAUACCGUCGUAGUCUUAACCAUAAACUAUGCCGACUAGGGAUCGGAUGAUGUUAAUUUUUUAAUGACUCAUUCGGCGCCUUACGGGAAACCAAAGUGU
This 559-nucleotide ribosomal RNA is filed under the name uncultured Glomus. RNAcentral describes it as "SSU rRNA". It matches the Rfam family "Eukaryotic small subunit ribosomal RNA", at positions 546 to 1106 of the family's 1831-position model. Lineage: Eukaryota; Fungi; Glomeromycota; Glomeromycetes; Glomerales; Glomeraceae. The record is from RNAcentral.